ACCCUCCAGAUCCCUUGCCCAUUAGAUCUAAAAACUGAUCUGAGUGGUUCUAACAGAAGGAAAAGCAAAAUUGAAACUGACUUCCAUUCUUUUCUGACACACAAGCUAGUUUCAAACAAAC
This is a small nucleolar RNA of Echinops telfairi (small Madagascar hedgehog), 121 nucleotides long. RefSeq annotates it as small nucleolar RNA SNORA61. NCBI's taxonomy places the organism in Eukaryota, Metazoa, Chordata, Mammalia, Afrosoricida, Tenrecidae. The transcript has a single exon. The record is from RefSeq and is a predicted model, not a curated record.